This 80-nucleotide microRNA precursor is filed under the name Medicago truncatula (barrel medic). RNAcentral describes it as "MIR5269 microRNA precursor family". It matches the Rfam family "MIR5269 microRNA precursor family". The record is from Rfam by way of RNAcentral. Lineage: Eukaryota; Viridiplantae; Streptophyta; Magnoliopsida; Fabales; Fabaceae.
UUUGGUGAGAUCCAUGUGGGUUUCACACUUUGGAAAUGGAUCCCACAUAAAAUGGUGAGACCCGCAUGGGUUUCACCCAA